CUGGGACACAUGGAUAAAUAAAUUGGACAAUAUAUCAGGCCUUUUAUGCUCUUUGUAGUGAUUUCUCUUUCUUGCUUCUUUUUUUUGUUUCUUUUAAUUUAUACUUUCCUUCCAUCAGAAUUCAGAUAACAAUAACCAACAGAGGUAGAGCAUACGCUCAGUUGCAGCGUAGGGAAGUGUUAGACCAGAGGAGGAGUGAAGAAGGGAAGGGCAUACAACCC
Molecule: non-coding RNA, 221 nt
Organism: Pelobates cultripes (western spadefoot toad)
Lineage: Eukaryota; Metazoa; Chordata; Amphibia; Anura; Pelobatidae
Source: the annotation of a GenBank genome assembly